RNAcentral lists this unclassified non-coding RNA (391 nucleotides) under soil metagenome. Its description in RNAcentral is "partial contains 5.8S ribosomal RNA, internal transcribed spacer 2, and large subunit ribosomal RNA". The stretch from base 1 to 122 matches the Rfam family "5.8S ribosomal RNA", at positions 35 to 154 of the family's 154-position model. The record is from RNAcentral.
GAUGAAGAACGUAGCGAAAUGCGAUACUUGGUGUGAAUUGCAGAAUCCCGUGAACCAUCGAGUCUUUGAACGCAAGUUGCGCCCGAAGCCAUUAGGCCGAGGACACGCCUGCCUGGGCGUCACACGUCGUUGCCCCCCCAUCUACUCCUUCGGGAUUGCGGGGGGCGGAUGAUGGCCUCCCGUGCGCCUCGUCGCGCGGUUGGCAUAAAUGCCAAGUCCUCGGCGACGCACGCCACGACAAUCGGUGGUUGCGAAACCUCGGUUGCCCGUCGUGUGCGGUCGUCGCGCAUCGAGGGCUCGAAAAAAUUGCCGGGCUCCGGCUCGGCUUUCAACGCGACCCCAGGUCAGGCGGGGUUACCCGCUGAAUUUAAGCAUAUCAAUAAGCGGAGGA